UCAUUGUUUCCAUAGAGUGGUUUGUUGCAUGUAUAGUCAUUGACUUGUUAUUAUUUCAGUUAGAAGACUUUUAUGGUUUAUUAUGGAAUAUCUUGAGGAAGGCAAAUUUCAAGGAUGACGAUCUUGCUUGUAUUUUUGGAGCUAUAUAUGACAUCAAAUCCGUUCUAUCUCCAAUGUUAUUGUUUUUAUAUAUUUGCUACUUAAAGAUCUUAACAUAUGAAAAAUUCUAACUAAACAAUGAUACACAGCUAUACUCGCCCUAAUUUGUAUCAAUGCAUUUCGUAUUGAUUUGGUUGGACACUCAUGCGGCGAAGACCUUCUUUCAUUGGAUGAAGUCUCUAUUGAAGGUGAAGGUGUAGUUGGCCAUACCUUUUCUAUGCUACAUCCUUCUACAAUCAUAAAUGUGGUAUUCAUUUUUCUGAUCUUUUAAUUUUUUGGGAAAAAUGUCCAAAAAAUCACGAACUUUUAUAAAUGACAAAGUUUAUGUUGACUUUUCAUUUGAGUCAUGUCGUUAAGUAGGUUAAUAUAAUUAUUUCCCGGCGUUAAGUUCUCGUUUAUCUCCUCUAUUAGAACAAAACAACAUUGUUUAUUGCAUCUCGUUUUGUCUGUUGAAACAAAUUUAAACCCUAAAUCCCCAAAUCGAUUUCAUUAUCUGCGAUUUUGAGGUCAGGUGGGUUUGUGAUUUUGAGAUAAUGAAAUCGAUAUAGGGAUUUAAGGUUUAUAUUUGUUUCAAGAGACAAAACGACGUCGUUUUGUGUCUUCAAUAAACGACAUUGUUUGUUCUAACAGAUCAAAUAAACAAGUCAUUAAAGCCGUAAAAAAAAUUAUAUUAACCUAUUUAACGAUAGGACUCAAAUGGCAAGUCAACAAAAACUUUGUCAUUUAUUUCGAAAGUCAACAAAAACUUUAUGAUUUGUUUGUCUUCCGUGAAGUUCAAGAUUAAAUCGUCCCAAAUUUUAAAGUUCGUGAUUUUUUUGACAUUUUUCUCUUUAAUUUUUAUACCAGUUUUUUUUUGUGAAGAAAUGCUUGAAUGUACCAACAUCAUAAGUCAAAGAGUCUUAUAAUGUUUUUAAUCUGUUAGACAAU
RNAcentral lists this small RNA (1086 nucleotides) under Arabidopsis thaliana (thale cress). Its description in RNAcentral is "ATSL209740". Lineage: Eukaryota; Viridiplantae; Streptophyta; Magnoliopsida; Brassicales; Brassicaceae. The record is from RNAcentral.